Molecule: ribosomal RNA, 476 nt
Filed under: uncultured bacterium
Lineage: Bacteria
Description: bacterial SSU rRNA
Rfam family: Bacterial small subunit ribosomal RNA
Source: RNAcentral
AACGCUGGCGGCGUGCUUAACACAUGCAAGUCGAACGAGAAUCUGCGGAAAGAGGAUUCGUCCAAUUGAAGCAGAGGACAGUGGCGGACGGGUGAGUAACGCGUGAGGAACCUGCCUUUCAGAGGGGGACAACAGUUGGAAACGACUGCUAAUACCGCAUGACACAUCGGAGUCGCAUGGCUCUGAUGUCAAAGAUUUAUCGCUGAAAGAUGGCCUCGCGUCUGAUUAGCUAGUUGGUGAGGUAACGGCCCACCAAGGCGACGAUCAGUAGCCGGACUGAGAGGUUGAACGGCCACAUUGGGACUGAGAUACGGCCCAGACUCCUACGGGAGGCAGCAGUGGGGAAUAUUGGGCAAUGGGCGCAAGCCUGACCCAGCAACGCCGCGUGAAGGAAGAAGGCUUUCGGGUUGUAAACUUCUUUUGUCAGGGACGAGUAGAAGACGGUACCUGACGAAUAAGCCACGGCUAACUACGUG